GACGUAGGGCGCGAGCGUUGUCCGGAUUUAUUGGGCGUAAAGAGCUCGUAGGCGGCUUGUCGCGUCGUCUGUGAAAUCCCGCGGCUCAACCGCGGGUCUGCAGUCGAUACGGGCAGGCUAGAGUUCGGUAGGGGAGACUGGAAUUCCUGGUGUAGCGGUGAAAUGCGUAGAUAUCUGGAGGAACACCCGUGGCGAAAGCGAGUUACUGGGACGGUACUGACACUGAGGAACGAAAGCCUGGGGAGCGAAAGGG
RNAcentral lists this ribosomal RNA (253 nucleotides) under uncultured bacterium. Its description in RNAcentral is "partial 16S ribosomal RNA". It matches the Rfam family "Bacterial small subunit ribosomal RNA", at positions 524 to 776 of the family's 1533-position model. The record is from RNAcentral.